RNAcentral lists this ribosomal RNA (840 nucleotides) under Triticum aestivum (bread wheat). RNAcentral's name for it is "partial small subunit ribosomal RNA". The record is from RNAcentral. Lineage: Eukaryota; Viridiplantae; Streptophyta; Magnoliopsida; Poales; Poaceae.
AUGGUGGAACUUGAAAAAGAAGAGGACCCCUUGGUCCACGACCAAGCCAUGCUGGAUGAUGAUGAUACCGACGAUGACUAUGUGGAGUCAGAGGAUGAUGAUUCGGAGGAGGAAUUGCAGGCUGAACCUUCAAAGAAGGUCGUGUACAACAAGGAGGGGCUCCUUGAGAAGCUCGAGGACAUCGCCUGGCCGGAGAAUGUGGACCGGAUGCACAAGCUCACCGUCGAUCAUGACCAGGGGGAGAAGGUCGAUGUGAACGACGAUCUUACCCGCGAGCUCGCUUUCUACACCCAGGCUUUGGAUGGCACGAGGCAGGCCUUUGAAAAGUUGCAGUCCAGGAAGGUCCGGUUCCUCAGGCCGGCAGAUUACUACACGGAGAUGGUCAAGACUGACACUCACAUGCACAAGAUCAAAGGGAAGCUCCUGUUUGAGAAGAAGAAGAUUGAGGAGGCUGAGGAGAGAAGAAGGCGCGGGAAGAAGCUCAAGGAGAGGGCCAAGGAGAAGAAGGAGAGCAUCGAAUCGAUCAAGAAGUGGAGGAAGCAGAGGCAACAGGGUGGAUUUUCCAAGGGUAAGGAGGACGGGCCAAACCUCAACUUUGAAGUUGAAGAAGGACUCAAGCAACACAAGAAGCAGAGGCCUGGCGUUUCUCCUGGUGAUAGGUCUGGUGGUCUUGCUAAGCGAGGUAAACAAGGAAAGAACCAUAGGUCAAAGGAUUCCAAGUUUGGUCAUGGCGGUCGCAAAGGGAUGAAGAAGCAAAACACUGCUGAGACGACGAAUGACUUCAGAGGAUUUAACAACCAGAAGGGUGAGUCAGGAAACAAGAAGAGGAAGAUGUUUUGA